AGCUGAUCAGUAUUAACAGAUCUGCCCAUUUUUCUUUUUCAACUGAGAGUUAAUGUAUCUAUAGAGUUAACAUCAUAUCUAUACACAAAUACAUCUGGUUUAGGUUUAAAAUAUUUUAUUAAAAAUUAAUUUCUUACACUCUUGUUACAAAAUGGUGAAUAGUACUUGACAUUUUUAGUUAUUUAUGAUUUGCAUCAAGUUCUCUUUUUAUGAAAACACAUUCAACUAAAAUUUAUUUGAGGUCAUUUAAAAUUGUUCAUUAAAACUAACUUAAAAAUGCUUGAUGCACUUCAAAAGUAUCUUUGCAUUUAAAAAUAUUUUAUUCAAUAACUGAAAUAAUGGCCCCUAGAAGGGGAAUUAAAUUGGAGGUUUCUGGUAGCCAUGGCUUUGGCAAUCUUAGAGAAAGCAGAUCUUAGCCUCUCACACUGGGGUUUAGCUGUAGAUUGACAGAGGAAAAUAGGCAAUCUUACUUUAUCUUCUCUAAUGUUGAUUUUUCAGCUUUAAUAGUCCUUAACUGAACUACUCAAAUGGAUUGAAACAAAGAUAUUCACCGUGCCUGCAGAAAAAACUGCAGCUCUUAAUAAUUGCUUUCCUGCAUCAGUUGCAUCUUGUUCCAUCUGCUUAACCAAGGCACUCAGGCUGGUGGUGUCACCUUCUGAAGCUCAGGAACAGCAAAUACUUCUUUGUGUCAAUUGAAGAGGUGCAGACAAAAUUUCAACAAAAUGUUACAUGAUUUUUUUUGUUUUAAAUAAAUUUCUUUGGGGGAAGGUACUAUGGAAUUAUGUUGUCCAGCAAGGACAAUCCCUAUUUGUAGGUAUUUUGAUCAAAUUCUGAAAUAAUGAAGUAAGGGACCCCUAAAUAGUUAGCUUUGGUUAUACAGAUUGUUACUUCAAGGUGGAAGGGCUCAUAUAUCUCAUUUUUGAAUUAUUGUUUUUGAAGAUGGAAAAUGCUCUAUGUGAGCACUUAGGUAGCAACAGACAAAAAUUAAUUUCAACUGAUAGGGGAAGAAAUGAUCCUCUUAUCUAAAGUGAAGGGCAGUUGGGCAAAUGAAGUUCAGAUGAUCACUGAGGAAGACAGAAAUAGAUAAUAAACAUAAGCCUGUAUAUAACAGUGCAUCAUUUCGGCUGAAUUUUUGUACCUGAUUUGGCUUUUUGGUGGCUGGUAAUUAUUUAUAUGUAGUUUAAAUUAAACCUGUGCUUCAAAACCACCCAUUAAAUUAACAAAUCCAGCCCAUUUAGGAAUUUUUUUUAUGUUUCUUGAGCAGUUUUUCCAGAUAACAGUGCAGACUUCUGUCAGCACAGCAUCACAGCAGAAGAGGAGCAGUAGACCACUGCUGAGUGACAGCCUACAGCUCUGAAAUGUGCCAUCCAUCCUAUCGUAGGGUCUCUGUUCUCAUCACUUCUGGGACAUGUCAGACUCCCUGCACAUGCCCUGCAGAGCUCAUCUGUGCCUGUGCACUCCAGCCUGCACCUCCCAGGUGCCUUCCUGAGGCAUCAGAUGGAAUGCAUAUGUGCAAGGAGCAGCUGAUCCACACAGUCUGGGUGGUGUUUGCCAGGACAGGAGGGUAUGUGGUGCACCUGAGCUCUGAGGCAUGGCUGUAUGUCCAUGAAACCUGGACAAAUAUGGAGGAACAUCAGAUUGUGCCCGGGCAUGGUUAUCACAUGGAGAGAAUGAUGUGCUGUCCAGGAUGGAAAGAUCUGCUCCUCAGGCAGUAGAGCUUCACACUGCUAUAGAAUAAAAGCUGAAAGUGAUUUUUUGCUGAAUUUUACAUCUUUUCCUCAGAAAUUUGGAAGUGGGUCUGAUGAAUGACUAAUAUUGCAUUGUCAUUUCUUUAGUGGGCAGGAGGUUUCUAACCUGUGUGAUUUUUUAAGCUAAUAAAUAAACAGCUAGUUCUUAACACUAAACUUACCAAUCAAAUCAUCCUCCUGUUGUAUUCCAGUAAACCUUUAGCAACUCCUUUCAGCUGGGGUUAGGUGUUCCCUGCAACUCAUAAAAUACGGAGCUGCGGUACUCUGCCUGUGGGGAGAAAGCCUGGAGCCACAUAGUGAUGUAUCUGUUCAACAGUGUGAGACAGAAGUUCCUUAUUCACAGCCCUGCACAGUCAACAUUGCCUACUGGGCUGCAAACCUCAUUUUCAAUUAGACACAGAUGAUAUUGUUUAUGGACUGGAAUUAAUAUUACUGAAGAGGAUGACAGCCUAUUAAGAGUCAAAGGAGUGCUAAUCCAGUGGAGCAGUUGCUCCAGGUAUUCCCAAGAAACUGAGUGAUUCCCACAGAGAGUUUCUGCUACCAGAGUACUGUGCCAUUUGCAACAGCCAUCCUGGAAUACAAUCUGUCCCAGUGUGAGUGGAAACUCCAAAGGUUUUUUCACCUGAGUGAAAACUGCAUUCACAGUGGAACAGCUCAGAGUUUACCAUCAAGUUCUGCAUAAAAGAUUAGAGGAAAGCAGAAGAUGAUAAGAUUUAUUAGCUAGCUCUAGAUCUACUGAAAAAGGAGGAUGCAAUGCACUGUCAUAAUUUAAAAACUGCUGGUAAUUUGAGGUGUUGUAAAGUGGUAUGAUCUCCUUUGCAUGGGUUAAAAAUGGAUGUAGAAGUUGCUACCAAGGAACCAUUAAAACAUAGGAAAAGACUCUCUUGAGCAGGAUUUUGCUAAGCAGCUCUUUCUGAUAUUGUUAAUAAGGACUAGUAUUUAUUAUUUGUUUUGGCAUUUUGCAGUAGUUCCCAAAAUCACAUAGAGAUCACUUGGGAAGGCAUUGUCAGGGCCCUGAUUGCACUAUUAAGUCUUAAUAUCCCUUAUGAGCCACACCUGAGUCCUCUACCCACAAUCCUUGAGAGAUCAGGUGCUCUAUUUAAGCUCAGCCUCAGCCCUUCAUUCCCUUUUUAAGCUUUGCUGGAGAAGUUAUGGGUUAGAGCCCUGCUAUACAGCCAAAUUUGAAGCUAUGCUCUGACUUCCUAGCUUGACCUGAACCUGACUCAUCAUCAGAGUCUUGCCUUAGGAUCUGGAUUCUUCACUGGGCCUGACCACCAUCUCUGGAUUUGUACCUACAGAUAUUCUGAAGUUGUGUGGGAUGGGGCUUGGCCAGUGAGGCACCUGCCUUGGUGACCGUAGCAUUUCCUUUGGCUCACCUUCCUUUAGGAAAUAGCCCUGCCCAGGCUGCUUCCUCACAGAUACAAAGUACAGCAGAGUGUACUCAGGCACAUGAAUCCUCUUGUAGCAAACAGGAUUAAUUAGAUAUUAAAUAUUGGGGUGGGUCAUACACAGGUCAAGGAAGAAGUUUUGAGUUGAAAGUGUUUGAGUUGAUUUUGAGACUCUAGGAAAAGUAUUAAUACCUGCCCUCUCAGUGCAAUGACUUCAAUAAGAUAGUGGAGGAAUUUGGAGUGGAUGCUGGCAGUUCAGCUGACUUUCUUAUCAACAAGAGGCAGACAUUAGCAUUUUGUGCUCCUUUUGAAGCUGUAGGAGUGUAGGCUAGUGCUCCUCACUCUUAAUUGUGGGCUGAAGACUUUGGAAAAUCUUCUACCUGGAAUUUUUUGUGGAGUAGCAAUUAUUUAGGUCAUUCAGAAGCCCUUAAUUCCAAAGGGAGGAAAACAAGAAUGUCCUAUGUUGUAUAUGUUUAAAUAUAGCCUGUGAUUAAUGGGACUAUGCACUACUGAUGUUCUGAGUGUGUAAGCCAGAAGUACUCCCCUACUCUUGGGUGUGGGUGCUGUGCUGAGACAAGACCCAGAGCACAUGAGCCCUUCAUUCAAAGGAAGGUUGGAGUUUCUCAGCUGGGGAGAUCAGGACUGCAUGGUGUACCAGAGAUAACUCUUUUUCAGUAGCAAGUGUCAUUUCUCAGAUAGAAAAGAUUUGUUAAAAGCAUUUUAAGCCCUGUUUGAUUUUACUGGAUCUAAGAUAGUUCCUAAGUUUCUGGCAAACUUUGGAGAUUAUCAUGUCCUCCCCACAGAACACAUCGCAGAUGGAACUACUUGGAACAGGGAGUUUGAGUCCCUAUCACUGCUUUGUGAAGUCAAUGCUCAUUUUAUCUGUGAUAAUCACUGAGCAGCUGAAUGGUUUGGGGAACUUCCAGUUCAGAAGAAUUCCUGAAAAUAUCUCACUUAGAUUUGUUUUGGACUGGAAUCAAGUCUGAAAAGCCCCCUCAAAUUUCCAUUGAACUGCAAAUCUUGCUUUUGAGCCAAAUUUGAUUGGAAAACUUAAACUAGCUAAACCUUGGAUAGGGCCCUGCAUGGAUCUGAUGUGAAUGCAAGUAGUGUCAUUGGAGAUAAUUUGGGGUUCACCCCUGGAUAUAAAUUGUCAUGUCCAACUGAGAGCAUUUCCAGGGUUAAGAUUGUUGUUCCUCUCCCUUUCUUAUCCUAGAAUUUGAGGGAGUAUUUGUCAAUCUCAAAAUUGCAAAGGCUCUGAGUAAGAAGCUGCUGCCCCUGCUCUCCUCAUUAGGACAAAAUGUGUAGGGUGCCUCAGCCAGAAAUUUCUGCUCAUACACCUGACGCUACUCAGGAGCCUUUAGUCAUGCGUCCCUGCAAGGAGCCUGAAAGAGACCUGGGUAGGGAGUGAAAAACUCCAAAGACAGGUGCACUGAGCUACAAUUUGGAGUAGCACAUGAAAACCCCUAACAGAUACGAUACUAUCCUAUAGAUCUAUACUAUAGAUAGCUGCUUAAAAUGAUGUAAUUUGUAUUGAAUCCUCCAGAAGGACUCCUUGACUUUUAAUUCCUUUUGAGAGUCACAUAUAGAUAUUAUCCUUCUGUCCUAAGCUGCUGUGAUGAGUAAGUGAAGCUAACAGAUACGGCUGUGAAUUGUCUUGAAUUGGAUCCUAGAGCCUCCCUUUUAAUUCUAGUAAGCCAUAAGAAGCUGUAAAGAAACACUACAGGAGAAGUGAUGAAGAUUUCAAUCCAAACAAAGUUAUUUGUCCAGAAUCAAAGAUACCAAGAGUUGGUAUCUUCUUUGAGUUCCCUUCUGCUCAGGCCAAUAGGGUGGCAUCAGAGAAAUAGCUGACCAACCAGUUCCUCCUCCAACUGGUGCAACCUACAAUGGCCAAAGUUGUGAGUCAUCAGGUACCAGGUGUUAUAACACACAUGUGUAACUUGCUAGAAUAAUUUUCACA
Passer montanus (Eurasian tree sparrow) is the source of this 5093-nucleotide long non-coding RNA. RefSeq lists it as uncharacterized. NCBI's taxonomy places the organism in Eukaryota, Metazoa, Chordata, Aves, Passeriformes, Passeridae. The record is from RefSeq and is a predicted model, not a curated record. The transcript is spliced from 3 exons.